CGCGCGGAGAAGAACGUGCUCGCGAACAUGCCGAUGAUAAUACAAAAAGAGUUAAACGAAUUCCCAUGAUCCCUGUUAAAGUGAUACAAAUUUUCACGCGAAUUCGCGUACGUAAGAGACGUAAUUUUAUAGUGUCGCUUUCGGUUUGAGCGCGCUAUGGACGAUUAAUGUUGGACCGUAAUAUCGUAAAAGUUAACCGGCGUUAACUAUGUGCGCGCAAACUCGGUGAUAGCGGAGAUAAGGGAAUGCAUUUUCGAAGAAUUUUCGUUAAGAAAUGAUGAAAGUCAGAAGAAGAA
Molecule: long non-coding RNA, 296 nt
Filed under: Polistes fuscatus (common paper wasp)
Lineage: Eukaryota; Metazoa; Arthropoda; Insecta; Hymenoptera; Vespidae
Description: uncharacterized LOC122526435
Source: RNAcentral